RNAcentral lists this ribosomal RNA (468 nucleotides) under uncultured bacterium. RNAcentral's name for it is "partial 16S ribosomal RNA". It matches the Rfam family "Bacterial small subunit ribosomal RNA", at positions 28 to 507 of the family's 1533-position model. The record is from RNAcentral.
GACGAACGCUGGCGGCGUGCUUAACACAUGCAAGUCGAACGGAAAGGCCCUGCUUUUGUGGGGUGCUCGAGUGGCGAACGGGUGAGUAACACGUGAGUAACCUGCCCUUGACUUUGGGAUAACUUCAGGAAACUGGGGCUAAUACCGGAUAGGAGCUCCUGCUGCAUGGUGGGGGUUGGAAAGUUUCGGCGGUUGGGGAUGGACUCGCGGCUUAUCAGCUUGUUGGUGGGGUAGUGGCUUACCAAGGCUUUGACGGGUAGCCGGCCUGAGGGGGUGACCGGCCCACAUGGGGCGGGGGUACGGGCCCAACUCCUUCGGGGGGGCAGAGGGGGGGAUAUUGCCCCAAGGGGGGGAGGCCGAAGCCGGAACGCCCGGGGGGGGGAGGCCGGCCUUGGGGUGUAAAACCGUUUUCCCCGGGACCAAGGGGGGGGUAAGGGAAUGGGUAAAAAAACCCCCGGUAACCUCGGG